Molecule: ribosomal RNA, 229 nt
Filed under: uncultured bacterium
Lineage: Bacteria
Description: partial 16S ribosomal RNA
Rfam family: Bacterial small subunit ribosomal RNA
Source: RNAcentral
CGCGUAGGCGGUCUGAUAAGUAAGUUGUGAAAGCCCGGGGCUCAACCCCGGAAGUGCAAUUGAAACUGUCAGGCUUGAGUAUGGUAGAGGGAAGUGGAAUUCCUGGUGUAGCGGUGAAAUGCGUAGAUAUCAGGAGGAACACCGGUGGCGAAGGCGGCUUCCUGGACCAAUACUGACGCUGAGGCGCGAAGGUGUGGGUAGCAAACAGGAUUAGAUACCCUGGUAGUCC